CUUCGGAUUCGUACUCAGCGUAGUUGAAAGUGGUAAGUUAUUAUAAAAUUAUUUAGUUCCACGAGGUGCACUACGGAAUUGAACGAUAGCGUGGGACAGCAAACGGCCUACUAGGCUUGCAACAUUUUUGGUCCUGGUUACUGAUUAGCAUUGCAAGGAGUAUAUAACCAAUUAGAAUUGAUGAACCAGGCUUUUGAAUCGAAGGCUUUGCCAAAUCAGUAAACUUUGUCAGUUAAAAAUAAAAUAACUUCACCAACACAAAACAAGCACGUCGAUUGCAGUGUAAAGCCAGCCGGGCGCACAAUGCAAUAAGUGUGCGAACUGGCAUAUAUAAUUUCUUAUCCAAUUUGCAUCGUGAUUGAGCCAAAAUACAAUCGAUUUGUGCUUGGCCAACGACCGAUCGUCAGACUAUUGGUGGUUUGCCAUCGGUCCCUUCAGAAUUAAAAGACAAACAUAUGGUGGCAAUGCAUGUUGAAGGAAAACACACUCCAAAUGCAAUAGCUGCUAAUGAUCUUCUUUUGUCAGCGUUCCUCCAGCAUGAACGACCGCCAUAACGUCUAGUGCAAACCAAGAAUUAAAUGUUUAGAGAGCUAUUAGGCUGAAGAGAACAGACAGAGAAAUGACUCGAUUAUCCAUCGUAUGAAAUUAAUACGGUUUAAGGAUCGAGCUUAAGGCAGGAAUUCAUGGUUGAGAAGACUUCUAUAGUAUCCAAUUUGAAAUAACAGUUGUCCCAGCUUGAAAUUUGUCCGUUGUAUAUAAGAUGUGAUAAUCUGUGAUUUGUCGUUGUGAACAGAAAGAGGACGACAUCGAAUAUUUUUAUGAGAUUUUAAUUAAUAAUUUCUUUUCUACACUAUUAUGAUUGUCAUCUGAUCACACUGAUGGCCGUCGUCGUUUCACUUGCGUCCUUCUUGCUUAAAGUUCCUAACAUCGAUAGAUUAUAGAUAGUUUUAGAAGUGUAAAAUUUAAGACUUUCUUUUCACCUCCAGGUACUAAAUUAAACCUUGCUUAAUUAAGUUCGCUAAUGUUCUUGGGUGAAAACAAUACUUCGGCUAUAGAUACCAUGGCCACCUAUAUUAUGUAAUUCAACUUUGGGAAUCUAUCCCAUUGUUAACUUAAUAACCAUUUACAAGUAAAAAGUCUAAUUUGUCAUUUGAUCUUUAGCAUUAUCCCAGCAUGCUUUUCAUGUCAUCAGUGAAUGACGUCAGAGUCCCAUAUUGGAUGUCGUUGAAGUAUGUGUCAAAGCUCCGCCAUCUAAACUCCAUGAAAGAAUAUUCAAGUCCACAAAGCAUGAUCCUGCUAAAAACAGAUUUUGAAAGUGGCCACUUUGGCGCAGGAACGUUUGAAGAGGUAUGGUGCUAAAGUUGUUGCAAACAAUAUAAACAUGAUAACAUGAAAGAUUGAUUGCUGAAAGGCUUUACUUGGUAGUGAACGCA
This is a non-coding RNA of Paramuricea clavata, 1433 nucleotides long. Lineage: Eukaryota; Metazoa; Cnidaria; Anthozoa; Malacalcyonacea; Plexauridae. The record is from the annotation of a GenBank genome assembly.